Molecule: ribosomal RNA, 433 nt
Filed under: uncultured bacterium
Lineage: Bacteria
Description: partial 16S ribosomal RNA
Rfam family: Bacterial small subunit ribosomal RNA
Source: RNAcentral
AACGAACGCUGGCGGCAUGCCUAACACAUGCAAGUCGAACGAGACCUUCGGGUCUAGUGGCGCACGGGUGCGUAACGCGUGGGAACCUGCCCGUAGGUUCGGAAUAACUCCCCGAAAGGGGGGCUAAUACCGGAUAAUGCCUGCGGACCAAAGAUUUAUCGCCUUUGGAUGGGCCCGCGUUGGAUUAGCUAGUUGGUAGGGUAAAAGCCUACCAAGGCGACGAUCCAUAGCUGGUCUGAGAGGAUGAUCAGCCACACUGGGACUGAGACACGGCCCAGACUCCUACGGGAGGCAGCAGUGGGGAAUAUUGGACAAUGGGCGAAAGCCUGAUCCAGCAAUGCCGCGUGAGUGAUGAAGGCCUUAGGGUUGUAAAGCUCUUUUACCCGGGAUGAUAAUGACAGUACCGGGAGAAUAAGCUCCGGCUAACUCCGUG